UAGAAGCUAGUAGACAUGCAUUAUAAUAUAAACAUGAGGAUGUGACAACUAAGAAGGGAGAAGGGAGAUGAAGUAUUAUUAGUACAACAUAAUCGUGAAUAGGGAACAAUACUAGCUACCUACCAAAUUUAUUGCUAGUUGGUGAGGCAAUAGCUUACCAAGGUGAUGAUCAGUAGCUGGUCCGAGAGGAUGAUCAGCCACACUGGGACUGAGACAUGACCCAAACUCCUUCAGGAGGCAACAGAUGGGAUUUUCCGCAAUGGGCAGAAGCCUUACGGAGCAAUGCCACGUGGAGGUAGAAGGCCCACAGGUCAUAAACGUCUCUUCUUAGAGAAGAAGCAAUAACAGUAUCCAAGGAAUAAGAUCGGCUAAUUCUGUGUCAGCAGCCACGAUAAGACAGAGGAUGCUUGCAUCA
RNAcentral lists this non-coding RNA (415 nucleotides) under Amborella trichopoda. Its description in RNAcentral is "Bacterial small subunit ribosomal RNA". It matches the Rfam family "Bacterial small subunit ribosomal RNA", at positions 120 to 541 of the family's 1533-position model. The record is from Rfam by way of RNAcentral. Lineage: Eukaryota; Viridiplantae; Streptophyta; Magnoliopsida; Amborellales; Amborellaceae.